This 65-nucleotide transfer RNA is filed under the name Rhipicentor nuttalli. RNAcentral's name for it is "tRNA-Met". The record is from RNAcentral. Lineage: Eukaryota; Metazoa; Arthropoda; Arachnida; Ixodida; Ixodidae.
UAAUAAAGUAAGCUAAAAAAGCUAUUGGGCUCAUACCCCAAAUAUGAUUUAUAAUCCUUUAUUAA